UUCUGGGCGAGAGAAGGAGAAGAAAUAAGGGCAGAGGAGAAGAAAAAAAAAAAAACCCAGCGAGGUUCAAUGGAAGACGAUGAAGCUAAGCAGCGAAGAGAACUUCAAGAAGAAGAUGAUUUUAAUGAAGGAAGAGAAAACGAUUUCCCAUCUCAUCAUCCUCCACCUCCUUCCGAUGAAUUGUUCGACAUCUCGACUACUGUUGAUCCUAGCUAUGUUAUUUCACUGAUAAGGAAGCUUCUUCCAGUUGAUUUGGGAAGUGAAGGGCGACGUAACAAUCAUAAGAAUGCUAAUAAUGUAGUUCAAGGUCUUGACACUUGCAAUGGUGGUCCAGAGAGCAUGGACAUUGGAGGUUACAAUAACGAAUCCACUUCUGAGGAGAAGGUCACGGUGGGUUCAGGUCGGGAGACGGGAAUGGUGACCGGGUCAUCAGUGGAAGAAGCUUGGGAAGAUCAUGGUUGUGUUUUGUGGGAUCUUGCUGCUAGUAGAACUCAUGCUGAGCUAAUGGUACAGAACCUGAUUUUAGAAGUUCUUCAUGCAAAUCUUAUGGUUUCAGAAUCUGCCCGCAUUCGAGAAAUCUGUCUCGGGAUUAUUGGGAACCUUGCUUGCCAUGAAGGUCUGUUGCAACAUGUAGAGUCUACAGCCGGACUCGUCAAUAUACUUGUGGGGCAGUUGUUUCUUGAUGAUACCCAAUGCCUAAGUGAAGUUUGUAGGAUACUCACCACAGGUCUCUCUGGGACUGGGUGUAAUUUCUGGGCUGAGUGUUUGCAGUCUGAUGAUAUACUUCGCCGUGUUUUGUGGAUUGCGGAAAAUACCUUGAAUCCACAUCUUAUUGAGAAGAGUGUAGGGUUAUUGUUAGGUAUCAUAGAAGGUCAACCAGAGAUUGGGCAGCUAUUGACCCCUUCACUAAUGACUUUGGGUUUGACGAGUCUCUUGAUCAAUCUUCUUUCCUUUGAAAUGAGCAAGUUGACGAAAGAAAGAAUUCCAGAAAGGUACCCCAUCCUUGACAUUAUUCUCCGAGCUAUUGAAGCCCUUUCUGCUUCAGACAGCCAUUCUAAAGAGAUUUGCUCUAGCAAAGAACUAUUUCAGCUAGUCUGUGAUCUUAUGAAACUUCAGGACAAAGUUGAGGUGGCAACAUCUUGUGUUACUGCUGGAGUUUUGAUCGCAAAUAUGCUGUCGGAAACAAUCGAUUUUAUUCCAGAACUAUCGGAAGAUUUCUCUUUCUUGGAAGGUUUAUUCAGUACUUUACCAUUUGCUUCGGAUGACUUAGAAGCAAGAAGAGCAAUUUGGAAUGUUAUUGCGAGGUUACUUGCCAGAGUUAAUGAGUCUGAGAUAAACACAUUCUCUCUGAGUCAGUACAUAUUGGUUCUGUUAAGCAACUCGGAUAUCAUAGAAGAUGAUCUUCUCGAUACCCAACUAGAAGAUUCAAACGAGGAGUUCCAAAACACACUCCCUUCCCAGAUGAAGUCAAGUGCGCGAACCAUUGCCAUACAGAAUAUUGAAUCGAUAUUAAACAUUUCGAAUACUCGCAAUGAGAAUCUGCAGGAGGAAAGCAUAUCUGGGGACUGCUCUAUAAACAGAUCUGGUGUUAAAAGGCUAUUGGAAUGCUGUCACAGAUAUAUCCAUAAGCUAUUCUCUAUCUCUAGAGAGUAUAAGGAUUGAUAUAUAUAAUCUGUGAAGGUUCUUAAUUCAUGGCGAAUCUUCCCAUGGUCACUCAAGGCAUAACACAUUACACCAUCAAGCUUCAAGAUAUCGCUAACUCGGUGGACUUUUUGGUAGACAUAUACAGAUGGCUUGUUGGCGAGAUCGUAAAGAGGCUGAUAGAUAUCAAAGACGACUAGAUUGAGUCCAAUGAGGUUUCUCUUGAGAUCCUGCGACGUUGUAUUGAGUUUGCUGUUGAAGGAGACUGCAUCGUUGUUUAGCUGCUCCGAGCAUCCACCUUCGUGUGGGCCUGCCACGGUUAUGGCCGCCGGUAAACAUCCUAGCGGCGGAAGCAUAGUCACUCCGAUCCUUCUUGCUCCUAACGAGUAUAAAUUCU
Molecule: RNA transcript, 2038 nt
Organism: Camelina sativa (false flax)
Lineage: Eukaryota; Viridiplantae; Streptophyta; Magnoliopsida; Brassicales; Brassicaceae
Source: RefSeq, a predicted model, not a curated record